Molecule: small RNA, 945 nt
Filed under: Rattus norvegicus (Norway rat)
Lineage: Eukaryota; Metazoa; Chordata; Mammalia; Rodentia; Muridae
Description: uncharacterized LOC102546790
Source: RNAcentral
GCCAUUAUAUAGGCUUCCAGUAAAAUACAUGGCCCAGAUUAGAGAUAUGUAUACUUUUUUUUUGAUGGUUUAGAACUUUAUUUCAAUGUAUGCAUAGGAAACACACUCAUAUCAGCUAAUAGGAUGCAAUCACGUUCAACCUAUCCUAUACAGUCUUGACCAGAAACUUGGUACAUGAUUUACAAUUAAAAAAAAAUAACAAAAAACAAACUGCAAUCUGCUUCAUCUCUAUCUGUUGCAAAUGUAUAAAAAAAUCCUCCAUCAAAUGCUGCUGAAGGCAGCAGACCCUUGAGAAAUAUACCUUUGGUUUGCCUCAGGAAAAUAACACAUAUUGCACUGUAAAGGUUUAUAAAAUUGAAGCAAAGCAUUGUUGUGAUGUCACAAUACCAGUUCUGAGAGUCCAGUAACUGACGGGAGCCUGCAGGACAUACACACAACUGUAGAAGCCCUCGCUCGCCCUCAGCCAGCAGUACACACACUGAAUCUACAGUCGGAUCAUUCUGAACUAAGACAUCAGCUCACCUCAUGUGCUCAGGCAGCCAGAAAACCUUAGAUAGAUCUUGAUUUUUGCAAAGAAAACGGAGUUUCUUCAGUGUUUCAGUUUACGAGUAACAGGAUGCUAACAGUAAUAUUUUAACCCAAGGAACCUAAUCUACCAUCAAAAGUGAAAAAGGUGGAGGUCUCCAAAUAGAACUUAAUCAAAGAGGUGUAAACUAAAAAUACUCACCUGUGGUGGGCAGGGAAGCUUAUAACUUAUCAGAUUAAUGAAGUAAUCAUCAUCAUCAUCAUCAUCACCACCACCACCACCACCACCACCACCAUCAUCAUCAUCACCAAAGAAAGACCACAAGAAUUCAUAAGGGGAAUUCAAAUAGUCAUCUACAGACUAUGAAGAAAGCUUUUAUGAGGAACAAGAUUGCUCGGUACCUGGACCAUUAAAAGUUA